Small nuclear RNA from Rattus norvegicus (Norway rat), 150 nucleotides. Ensembl annotates it as U2 spliceosomal RNA. The record is from Ensembl. Lineage: Eukaryota; Metazoa; Chordata; Mammalia; Rodentia; Muridae.
AUCGCUUCUCGGCCUUUUGGCUAAGAUCAAGUGUAAAAAUGAGCAGACAAGUCAGAAGUUCUGAUUAAUAAAUUAUUAAUAAAUAAAUUAAUAAUUAAUAAAUUAAUUAAUAAAUCUUGCUUGCUUCUGUAAGCAAGCAAGAGUGCCAUG